Molecule: RNase P RNA, 450 nt
Filed under: Planctomycetaceae bacterium SCGC AG-212-F19
Lineage: Bacteria; Pseudomonadati; Planctomycetota; Planctomycetia; Planctomycetales; Planctomycetaceae
Description: Bacterial RNase P class A
Rfam family: Bacterial RNase P class A
About the family: Ribonuclease P (RNase P) is a ubiquitous endoribonuclease, found in archaea, bacteria and eukarya as well as chloroplasts and mitochondria. Its best characterised activity is the generation of mature 5'-ends of tRNAs by cleaving the 5'-leader elements of precursor-tRNAs.
Source: Rfam by way of RNAcentral
GAGGCUGGCUGGACGGUCGCUGCCUGGUCAAGCGUCGGGGCGCUUCGGCGCUGCCGGCUGCCGCGCCAGGGAGAGGAAAGUCCGGGCUCCAUAGGACACGGUGGUGGGUAACGCCCACCGUCCGAGCUGCCUUCGGGCGGCGAAGGAUAGGGAAAGUGCAACAGAAAGUAAACCGCCUGACGGAAGUUGCGCCCGAAGCUCUGCUUCGGAAGGCUACCGCCAGGUAAGGGUGAAAAGGUGCGGUAAGAGCGCACCAGCAGCCUGGUGACAGGCUGGCUCGGCAAACCCCACCGGGAGCAAGGCCAAAUAUGAGGGCAGGACCGGUCCGGUCCGCUAUGACUCUCGGGUAGGUCGCUCGACUGGCCGGGCAACCGGCCGGCUAGAUAAAUGACCGUCGCUACGUCCCAACCGGACGCAGGACAAAACCCGGCUUACAGGCCGGCCUUUGGA